ACUAGAGCCAAAUCUAUCUCAAAAGUUUAGGUCAUUUUUUUUCCUUUUUGAUAGUAUUCAAUGAGAAAUAACACUUAAAAUAAAACUUUUUCCAUGAGGAAGCUACAGUAAUUAUCCAC
RNAcentral lists this long non-coding RNA (119 nucleotides) under Saimiri boliviensis boliviensis (Bolivian squirrel monkey). The record is from RNAcentral. Lineage: Eukaryota; Metazoa; Chordata; Mammalia; Primates; Cebidae.